Long non-coding RNA from Brassica rapa (field mustard), 4626 nucleotides. RefSeq lists it as uncharacterized. The record is from RefSeq and is a predicted model, not a curated record. Lineage: Eukaryota; Viridiplantae; Streptophyta; Magnoliopsida; Brassicales; Brassicaceae.
AAAGAUUUAUAGUUUAUAAUUUAUGGUUUAGUGUUUUAUUGACAAUAUUAAAAAAAAAAAAUUUUGCAACUACUAUUAUUUUUAUUUAUGUUUACAUUUUUUAUUUUAAAAAUAUAAUACAAUUUGACAAUAUUUAAAAAAAAAAAAAAUUAUUGAAUAUGAAAUAACGAAAUCUUAUUGGUUGGUGAACAUACAUGUUCACUCUAACUCUAGGGGAUGAACUCUAGAGAAUGAACUUAAGAAUAACUCAAAAAAACCCUUGUCUAGUUUAAGAAGAUAAAACAUAUUCGGAUAUUCCUUAUAAGGUUAAAAAGAAGACAAUAAACCCUUUUACAUAAAGUUCAUACUUUCAUUUUAUCCAAGUCACUCUCUCAACGGGUAAAGGAUAAAGAAACGGGUCGGGUAGGGACCCAGCAAGACAGUAACGGGUCGGGUAAGGACCCAGUAAGACAGUAACGAUGACGAGCAGACGAAGAAGAGGGAGUUAGUUGGGAUAUUUAAUUGCUUUUGUCUCCUUUUUCCUGACUUUAUUUCAUUUCUCUAUCGUCUUUGCUUGCCCACGAGCGAAUCUUCUUGUCUCCGAUCCAUUUCUUCUUUUCUCCUCCUCUUUUGAAUGUACACACAAAGAUUAGUUUUUUUACCUUCUAAAAAAAAUUAGCUUUAACCAUGUUUCAAAAAAAGAUUAGCUUUUAACCUAAUUUCUAGAUAAAAUAAUGAAAUUACUUUUAGAGAUGUUUUGAGCUGAUCAUACCUAGUUUUUGGAGUUGAAAACUUGAAAUAAUAUCAAACUCUAUUCUGUAUUUUUCAUUCCAAAAUAAGUUUGAAAUAAACUCUUUUUCAAUCUAAUAUCUCAUUCUUUCUAUUUUAUUAUAAUGGAGUAAAAAUCAGAUUGUUUCAAAAAUAGAGCAAUACAUUUUUUACUCAUUAUUCUAUUUUUUUCAAAAUAAAAUAUAAUUGGAGUAAAAAUCAACUAGAAAGUUACUCUAUUUUGGAGAAAAAAAAUGUAAUAAUACAUUGAAGGUGUUUUUAGUUUUUUUUUUUUUUUUGCUAAAAGAUAUAUGUUUUUAGUAUGCUCCCAAGUUAUAAACUGGUAUUCUCUUGCUAAUAGUACACGUUAGCACGUUUGACUGUAAUCCACACAAAAUAACGUUCCGGACCAGAGAGGCAUAUUGUCUGAAGAACGCAGACACAAUUCUGCAAAAUUGGAUCUCAUUUAAUGACUUGUAUAUACCUCAAUAGGCAAUAGCUGUACUGGUGUACAUGCAAUUCAAUGGUGUUUAGUUAUAAGUUGAACAAAAAUCCGGUUUCCUAUAAAUCAAAUAAUUAGUUUGAUUUCUGGUACAAGAUCCAUGUUAAAAAUUAAGAUUGAUGAAACACCUAUCAGAUUUAUAUAUACUUGUUUGAUCUCUAAUUUAUGAUACAUAGGUUUUAUGUAUGUUAAAUAUUCAUCAGAUGUUUUAACUAAAGGAAAAAGUAUUCAUUCGAUGGCUUGAUUGAUCUUUGAUGAGGAUAUGUUAGAUCCGUUUGUGAAUUGUGAUGAUAAGUGGAUGUCACUAUGGAGACAACUUGGACGUGCGACAACACGAUGAGGGAGAGACAAGUAUGACUCUUCAACAAGUAAGACUAAUACCACUUUAACCACUAACGUUAUUUCAAUGCGUUUAUUAGAAGAAACACUUUUUUUUUUUCUUAAAAAGUAAAGUAAUUGUAAUUGACAAACUAUGGACUGUGGCGAUCCAAAUGAACCAACCUUCGAAAAUAAACUAACUUGCGGAAAGCUACUCUAAGCAUUUUGACCAAAAAACUUGCUCUCGUUUACACGUUUUCGUUGGAGUCCAAAGGGAUAUUUUCAAAGUUAUUGCAAAAGAUUUUUAUCUGAUAACAAAAACUAAAGGUAAUUAGCAUAAAAAUAUAAAAAGCAAAUUAAUGAGUUUGUCAGCUAAUUAAGAUGUCGUCAUAUGUUUUUUCUAUACAGAAAUCAAGAGAAAUAAUCUGUUUUGAAAAUUCAUCUUUUUGUCUAAAAUAGAUUAUUCUAUAAAAAUACAAUUUGAUAUUGUUUAACAUUUUUACCUCCAAAAAAUUUACCCAUUCUCUUUCAAUAUUUUUUCACAUAGUUUUUUUCUAUAUACGUAUAUCAGGUUAUUGAUGUGGUGAAAAGAACUUGUUCUCGUCCAUUAUAAAAUUAUGUAACAAAUUAGCUCUGGCGAAUUAAAAAAAAUUGAUUUUCUUUUGCUUUAAGCUUGGAAUUUAUAUUUGAUUAUUUAGGGGAAUAUAAAUAAAAAAACAAUUGAAUUUAAAAAAAAAACAAUUGAAUGCUAUAUUUGUCUCUAUAAAUAGAGGAAUGCUAUUUUUUCCUCUAUAUUUAGGGAAAAAAAUAGCAUUCUCCUAUUUAUAGAGGUAAAUAUAGCAUUCCUCUAUUAUAGAUGAAGACAUUGGAGCAAAAACACUAUUUCUAUUUUUCUCUCUAUUUUAAAGAUCUUUAUUAUAGAGAUGGGUUGGAGAUGCUUUUAAAGCCGAUAUAAAGCCUAUGUUACUUGUUAUAGAUUCACAUGAUUUUACGGUAAUGGGGGAAUUAAAUUUCUACUCAAAUUUAUUUAUUUUUGGUUACUAAUGAUUAUUCAAAAACUUGUUCUGUUAGGUAAAUCAAUAAAAAUCAUUCAAUUAUCUUGAAGAAAGGAGAAGUUAAAACCUUCUUUUUUUCUUUUCCUACUAUGCAAUUAGUGUUUCUUGCAACAUUUUUGUGGGUUGGCUUUUUGCAUGCGAGAUCUUUCUAUAUGUCCAAAACAUAUACUGAUUUCGUAUUUCCUUAUUUUGUUUUUAUUCAUCUCAAUUGCUUUUUCUUGGCAUGCAUGCAUUGAUUAAUUAUGGAAACAUCCACUACAUUUGACAUGAAAUUUGGUGGGAUUGCUUCUUAGAGAUAUUCCGACACGUCUAAACCACUAAUAUAAUUGUCAUAAUACGAUUUAUAUAGUCUUACUCUGUAACACCAAAAUUUCCAACAAAGGAUUGCGAUUUCCACCUUAAACAUGAUCAUUUUAUCUAGUCACGCUUUUGUGCUACAUAAGCUAUAUUUUUCUAUCCAAUUAAUGUAUCUUAAUAUUUUCUUAAAUUCCGUUAAGUAUUCAUAUAAUUAGUGCAAAAAGAUAGAUGCAAAUAUAAAACAUUCGUAUAGUUUAUUUACAAUUGCUUUUUACAUGUCUUCAUUUUUCAUUGCUAUCUUCCUCCGCUAGUUUUCCUUGUUCACGUAUGUGACUUGGUCAAAAAAUUAUAAGAUAGAUAACUUGCGUCUUUUCAACAUUUGACAUCAUAAGCUCCAACGAAGAAAGGAAAGAAAAAGAUUUUGCUAACAGUUAAAAGUACCAAUUAUAAUUCAUUAAUUUGCAUGCUUUUUCACUGUUUUCGUUCCAUAAAUAUAAGGCUGUGAUACAAUACUAGGCUACUAGCCUAUAAUAAAUAGAUUCAACCACAUUGAUUUUUUUUUAAUGAUUGAAAACGUAAUCGACUUUUGUAAAAGUAGCAGUGAAUUUGUAUCGUUAUAAACUAGGAUAGCUGGAAUAAUCUGGAUCAAGUUUAUUUCUAAUCUCUCCUAUUAUAUUUAGGUUAUCUAUGUUUUGCCAAAAAGUUUUAAUAAUUCCGAAAGCGAGUAGAAAAUCUAACUCUAGACAGUAACGAAUUUAAACCAAUUGUCUUCUAACCAAGACUAUCGCCCCCAUGGGCGGAUCUAGCAGCUAUAAUAAUAUGGGGUCAAUAUAUUAUAUAGCAAAACUAUAGUUGUUAGAGUUGAUUUUCAACUAGAGGUGCAUGGGGCAACAAAGAUUAACCAUCUGAAUUUCUAGGUUUUUUUCAACAGAACUAAUGAAAAAUAAAAAUUAUGUAUGUGACACUUGCCCCACCCAGUAACUUCCGUCCCUGAUCGCCCCUUCAUCAGAUGCGAGUUUCUCUCCUUAUACUGGUAAUGUUCGUUUGCAUGUCUCAGUGACCUUCGACUGCAAUUUGCGAUCAGUCAUAGAUUACAUGUCACAUGGUAAAUUGUUUGUUUUACUAUCAUACAAUUGAUUGUGCAAUCAAAUCACAUGUUGCCGUCGCAAAUCACAAAACUUACGAUAGAAAAACGAACAAUAUUUUGAUCGUAGGUCGCUGCGACAUGCAAAUGAACAGAAUCAUUAAUUUAGUAGUCUAUUGAAAAUUACACUACUUUAUUUCUAUUUCUUGAUUUUUGAAAAAUGAUUUUCACCUUUAUUUCAUAAUUUCUGUUAUAUAUUAUAAUUAUUAGUCUUAUUAUUUCAAAAGGGCUACCUGUUUUAAAGCCGAUUUGAAAAUAAGAUUCUAUUUUUAUCCCUAUUAUUUUACUUCAUGAAUUGGAUAAAUAAAGUCACAAGUGCUAAUAAGUGUUUUAUAGAAACAUAAGCAUGUGAUGAGUUCAAAAAAAAAAAGAGUUCGAAAAAAAAGAAACAUAAGCAUGUUUGGUAAAAAAAAUUAGAAAAAUAAACGAUAUUUAUAAUGAAACGGAUAUAGUAUCACAUAUUUGAUGAGUAUAUGUCCAUAUACAAAAUCCUAAAAUUUAGUUAUUCCAUAUCAACUAAAAUAUAAUGAUGUAGCUCUUUCGAGUUAAACACUCAAAGUGAU